AUGGAGAGGGAAAUGGCUGCCUCAUAUGAGCCAAAACUAAACAGUGAAAUAAGGAUUUUUGAGAGUUCAGAUGAGAUAGUAACAGAUCUAGCUGAGUAUAUCUCCCAAGUUUCAGAAAUCUCUGUUAAAGAAAGGGGAUACUUCGCUAUUGCCCUAUCUGGAGGGCCCCUUGUCAGUUUUUUGAGGAAACUUUGUGAAGUGCCAUACAACAAGACCCUGGAUUGGUCUAAAUGGUACAUUUUCUGGUCUGACGAACGUGCUGUAGCAAAGAACCAUGCAGACAGUAACUAUAAGUUAACAAAAGAAGAAUUUCUAUCAAAGGUACCUAUUCUGAGUGGCCAUGUCUACUCCAUAAAUGACGGCGCCACGGUGGAGGACGCAGCAACGGACUACGAAUUUGUCAUCAGGCAGCUGGUCAAGAUCCGCACUAUAGGAGUCUCAGAGAGCAACGACUGCCCCAAGUUUGAUCUCAUCCUCCUCAGCAUGGGCUCCGACGGACAUGUGGCCUCAUUGUUCCCUAACCACCAAGCCCUCGAGCUGAAGGACGACUGGGUCACCUACAUCACGGACUCCCCGCAGCCUCCACCCGAGAGAAUCACCUUCACCCUCCCUGUGAUAAACUCGGCGUCAAACAUCGCGAUCCUCGCGACGGGCGUCGACAAGGCAAACGCUGUGCAUUCAGCCGUGUCUGACAGCAGCGACGGCCUAGACGCCGCCGCCCCGCUGCCUGCCAGGAUGGUCCAGCCAACGGACGGGAAGCUGGUGUGGUUUCUGGACAAGGCGGCCGCCUCAUCACUCGAGGCGCUGUCUGACGAUGCCUACCAGCAGCAGCAUCUGUGA
This 840-nucleotide ribosomal RNA is filed under the name Triticum aestivum (bread wheat). RNAcentral's name for it is "partial small subunit ribosomal RNA". The record is from RNAcentral. Lineage: Eukaryota; Viridiplantae; Streptophyta; Magnoliopsida; Poales; Poaceae.